RNAcentral lists this ribosomal RNA (478 nucleotides) under uncultured bacterium. RNAcentral describes it as "partial 16S ribosomal RNA". It matches the Rfam family "Bacterial small subunit ribosomal RNA", at positions 356 to 825 of the family's 1533-position model. The record is from RNAcentral.
UGAGGAUCUUCCACAAUGGACGCAAGUCCGAUGGAGCAACGCCGCGUGAGUGAAGAAGGUUUUCGGACCGUAAAGCUCUGUUGUUGGUGAAGAAGGAUAGAGGUAGUAACUGGCCUUUAUUUGACGGUAAUCAACCAGAAAGUCACGGCUAACUACGUGCCAGCAGCCGCGGUAAUACGUAGGUGGCAAGCGUUGUCCGGAUUUAUUGGGCGUAAAGCGAGCGCAGGCGGAAGAAUAAGUCUGAUGUGAAAGCCCUCGGCUUAACCGAGGAAUUGCAUCGGAAACUGUUUUUCUUGAGUGCAGAAGAGGAGAGUAGAACUCCAUGUGUAGCGGUGGAAUGCGUAGAUAUAUGGAAGAAUACCAGUGGCGAAGGCGGCUCUCUGGUCUGCAACUGACGCUGAGGCUCGAAAGCAUGGGUAGCGAACAGGAUUAGAUACCCUUGGUAGUCCAUGCCGUAAACGAUGAGUGCUAAGUGUUG